Molecule: ribosomal RNA, 2905 nt
Filed under: Salmonella enterica
Lineage: Bacteria; Pseudomonadati; Pseudomonadota; Gammaproteobacteria; Enterobacterales; Enterobacteriaceae
Also listed under: 1 other name
Description: bacterial LSU rRNA
Rfam family: Bacterial large subunit ribosomal RNA
Source: RNAcentral
UUAAGCGACCAAGCGUACACGGUGGAUGCCCUGGCAGUCAGAGGCGAUGAAGGACGUGCUAAUCUGCGAUAAGCGCCGGUAAGGUGAUAUGAACCGUUAUAACCGGCGAUUUCCGAAUGGGGAAACCCAGUGUGAUUCGUCACACUAUCAUUAACUGAAUCCAUAGGUUAAUGAGGCGAACCGGGGGAACUGAAACAUCUAAGUACCCCGAGGAAAAGAAAUCAACCGAGAUUCCCCCAGUAGCGGCGAGCGAACGGGGAGGAGCCCAGAGCCUGAAUCAGCAUGUGUGUUAGUGGAAGCGUCUGGAAAGGCGCGCGAUACAGGGUGACAGCCCCGUACACAAAAGCGCAUGUGCUGUGAGCUCGAUGAGUAGGGCGGGACACGUGGUAUCCUGUCUGAAUAUGGGGGGACCAUCCUCCAAGGCUAAAUACUCCUGACUGACCGAUAGUGAACCAGUACCGUGAGGGAAAGGCGAAAAGAACCCCGGCGAGGGGAGUGAAACAGAACCUGAAACCGUGUACGUACAAGCAGUGGGAGCACAGGUUUACCUGUGUGACUGCGUACCUUUUGUAUAAUGGGUCAGCGACUUAUAUUCUGUAGCAAGGUUAACCGCAUAGGGGAGCCGAAGGGAAACCGAGUCUUAACCGGGCGUUAAGUUGCAGGGUAUAGACCCGAAACCCGGUGAUCUAGCCAUGGGCAGGUUGAAGGUUGGGUAACACUAACUGGAGGACCGAACCGACUAAUGUUGAAAAAUUAGCGGAUGACCUGUGGCUGGGGGUGAAAGGCCAAUCAAACCGGGAGAUAGCUGGUUCUCCCCGAAAGCUAUUUAGGUAGCGCCUCGUGAAUUCAUCUCCGGGGGUAGAGCACUGUUUCGGCUAGGGGGCCAUCCCGGCUUACCAACCCGAUGCAAACUGCGAAUACCGGAGAAUGUUAUCACGGGAGACACACGGCGGGUGCUAACGUCCGUCGUGAAGAGGGAAACAACCCAGACCGCCAGCUAAGGUCCCAAAGUCAUGGUUAAGUGGGAAACGAUGUGGGAAGGCCCAGACAGCCAGGAUGUUGGCUUAGAAGCAGCCAUCAUUUAAAGAAAGCGUAAUAGCUCACUGGUCGAGUCGGCCUGCGCGGAAGAUGUAACGGGGCUAAACCAUGCACCGAAGCUGCGGCAGCGACACUGUGUGUUGUUGGGUAGGGGAGCGUUCUGUAAGCCGUUGAAGGUGUGUCGUGAGGCAUGCUGGAGGUAUCAGAAGUGCGAAUGCUGACAUAAGUAACGAUAAAGCGGGUGAAAAGCCCGCUCGCCGGAAGACCAAGGGUUCCUGUCCAACGUUAAUCGGGGCAGGGUGAGUCGACCCCUAAGGCGAGGCCGAAAGGCGUAGUCGAUGGGAAACGGGUUAAUAUUCCCGUACUUGGUGUUACUGCGAAGGGGGGACGGAGAAGGCUAUGUUGGCCGGGCGACGGUUGUCCCGGUUUAAGCGUGUAGGUGUGUGUUCCAGGUAAAUCCGGUUCACUUUAACACUGAGGCGUGACGACGAGGCACUACGGUGCUGAAGCAACAAAUGCCCUGCUUCCAGGAAAAGCCUCUAAGCAUCAGGUAACAUCAAAUCGUACCCCAAACCGACACAGGUGGUCAGGUAGAGAAUACCAAGGCGCUUGAGAGAACUCGGGUGAAGGAACUAGGCAAAAUGGUGCCGUAACUUCGGGAGAAGGCACGCUGACACGUAGGUGAAGUGGUUUACCCAUGGAGCUGAAGUCAGUCGAAGAUACCAGCUGGCUGCAACUGUUUAUUAAAAACACAGCACUGUGCAAACACGAAAGUGGACGUAUACGGUGUGACGCCUGCCCGGUGCCGGAAGGUUAAUUGAUGGGGUCAGCGCAAGCGAAGCUCCUGAUCGAAGCCCCGGUAAACGGCGGCCGUAACUAUAACGGUCCUAAGGUAGCGAAAUUCCUUGUCGGGUAAGUUCCGACCUGCACGAAUGGCGUAAUGAUGGCCAGGCUGUCUCCACCCGAGACUCAGUGAAAUUGAACUCGCUGUGAAGAUGCAGUGUACCCGCGGCAAGACGGAAAGACCCCGUGAACCUUUACUAUAGCUUGACACUGAACAUUGAGCCUUGAUGUGUAGGAUAGGUGGGAGGCUUUGAAGCGUGGACGCCAGUCUGCGUGGAGCCAACCUUGAAAUACCACCCUUUAAUGUUUGAUGUUCUAACGUGGACCCGUGAUCCGGGUUGCGGACAGUGUCUGGUGGGUAGUUUGACUGGGGCGGUCUCCUCCUAAAGAGUAACGGAGGAGCACGAAGGUUGGCUAAUCCUGGUCGGACAUCAGGAGGUUAGUGCAAUGGCAUAAGCCAGCUUGACUGCGAGCGUGACGGCGCGAGCAGGUGCGAAAGCAGGUCAUAGUGAUCCGGUGGUUCUGAAUGGAAGGGCCAUCGCUCAACGGAUAAAAGGUACUCCGGGGAUAACAGGCUGAUACCGCCCAAGAGUUCAUAUCGACGGCGGUGUUUGGCACCUCGAUGUCGGCUCAUCACAUCCUGGGGCUGAAGUAGGUCCCAAGGGUAUGGCUGUUCGCCAUUUAAAGUGGUACGCGAGCUGGGUUUAGAACGUCGUGAGACAGUUCGGUCCCUAUCUGCCGUGGGCGCUGGAGAACUGAGGGGGGCUGCUCCUAGUACGAGAGGACCGGAGUGGACGCAUCACUGGUGUUCGGGUUGUCAUGCCAAUGGCACUGCCCGGUAGCUAAAUGCGGAAGAGAUAAGUGCUGAAAGCAUCUAAGCACGAAACUUGCCCCGAGAUGAGUUCUCCCUGAGACUUAGAGUCUCCUGAAGGAACGUUGAAGACGACGACGUUGAUAGGCCGGGUGUGUAAGCGCAGCGAUGCGUUGAGCUAACCGGUACUAAUGAACCGUGAGGCUUAACCUU